Molecule: ribosomal RNA, 465 nt
Filed under: uncultured bacterium
Lineage: Bacteria
Description: partial 16S ribosomal RNA
Rfam family: Bacterial small subunit ribosomal RNA
Source: RNAcentral
CCUACGGGGGACAGCAGUAGGGAAUCUUCCACAAUGGGCGCAAGCCUGAUGGAGCAACACCGCGUGAGUGAAGAAGGGUUUCGGCUCGUAAAGCUCUGUUGUUGGAGAAGAACGUGCGUGAGAGUAACUGUUCACGCAGUGACGGUAUCCAACCAGAAAGUCACGGCUAACUACGUGCCAGCAGCCGCGGUAAUCCGUAGGUGGCAAGCGUUAUCCGGAUUUAUUGGGCGUAAAGCGAGCGCAGGCGGUUGCUUAGGUCUGAUGUGAAAGCCUUCGGCUUAACCGAAGAAGUGCAUCGGAAACCGGGCAACUUGAGUGCAGAAGAGGACAGUGGAACUCCAUGUGUAGCGGUGGAAUGCGUAGAUAUAUGGAAGAACACCAGUGGCGAAGGCGGCUGUCUGGUCUGCAACUGACGCUGAGGCUCGAAAGCAUGGGUAGCGAACAGGAUUAGAUACCCUAGUAGUC